RNAcentral lists this ribosomal RNA (627 nucleotides) under uncultured Penicillium. Its description in RNAcentral is "eukaryotic LSU rRNA". The stretch from base 249 to 402 matches the Rfam family "5.8S ribosomal RNA". Lineage: Eukaryota; Fungi; Ascomycota; Eurotiomycetes; Eurotiales; Aspergillaceae. The record is from RNAcentral.
AGGUUGGAUCCCUUAGUAUCGACUAGCAGUGGGCUGGAAUUGGCCCUUAUAAGUGACCCUGCGGAAGGAUCAUUACCGAGCGAGGGAUCUAUGGGUCCAACCUCCCACCCGUGUUUAUUAUACCUUGUUGCUUCGGCGGGCCCGCCGUAUGGCCGCCGGGGGGCUUCUGCCCCCGGGCCCGCGCCCGCCGAAGACAUCUCGAACUCUGUCUGAAGAUUGUAGUCUGAGUAAAAAUAUAAAUUAUUUAAAACUUUCAACAACGGAUCUCUUGGUUCCGGCAUCGAUGAAGAACGCAGCGAAAUGCGAUACGUAAUGUGAAUUGCAAAAUUCAGUGAAUCAUCGAGUCUUUGAACGCACAUUGCGCCCUCUGGUAUUCCGGAGGGCAUGCCUGUCCGAGCGUCAUUGCUGCCCUCAAGCACGGCUUGUGUGUUGGGCUCCGUCCUCCGAUCCCGGGGGACGGGCCCGAAAGGCAGCGGCGGCACCGCGUCCGGUCCUCGAGCGUAUGGGGCUUUGUCACCCGCUCUGUAGGCCCGGCCGGCGCUUGCCGAUCAACCAAAUUUUUAUCCAGGUUGACCUCGGAUCAGGUAGGGAUACCCGCAGAACUUAAGCAUAUCAAUAAGCGGAGGA